This 460-nucleotide ribosomal RNA is filed under the name uncultured bacterium. RNAcentral describes it as "partial 16S ribosomal RNA". It matches the Rfam family "Bacterial small subunit ribosomal RNA", at positions 338 to 795 of the family's 1533-position model. The record is from RNAcentral.
CCUACGGGUGGCAGCAGUGAGGAAUAUUGGUCAAUGGGCGCGAGCCUGAACCAGCCAAGUCGCGUGAGGGAAUACGGUCCUACGGAUUGUAAACCUCUUUUGGCGGGGAGCAAUGCCGGGCACGUGUGCCCGGAGGGAGAGUACCCGCAGAAUAAGCAUCGGCUAACUCCGUGCCAGCAGCCGCGGUAAUACGGAGGAUGCGAGCGUUAUCCGGAUUUAUUGGGUUUAAAGGGUGCGUAGGCGGAGUUUUAAGUCAGCGGUAAAAAGUCGGGGCUCAACCCGGGCCGGCCGUUGAAACUGGGGAUCUUGAGUGGGCGAGAAGUAGGCGGAAUGCGUGGUGUAGCGGUGAAAUGCAUAGAUAUCACGCAGAACUCCGAUUGCGAAGGCAGCUUACUAAACUGCCACUGACGUUGAGGCUCGAAAGUGUGGGGAUCGAACAGGAUUAGAUACCCCAGUAGUC